UCUGCCUAUCUCUUAUAAGGAUAUGUAUGUGUACAUGUUAUAUAUAUUAUGUAUAUAUGUAUAUAUUUUAUCUGUGUAUAUAUAUUUAUAUGUAUGUGUGUGUAUAUAUCUAACUAUCUCUUUCAAUGCUUUGCCUUGGAGCACAACCACUGCACUGUAAGGAAGUCUGAGCUAGCCCAUUUGGAGAGGCCACUUGGAGAGAAACUGAGACCCCUCUAGCCAACAGUGAGCAGCAUUCUCCAGAAUAUGUGUGAUUGGGCCUUCAGAUGAUUCCAGAUCUCGGUGUUUGAGUCUUCCAGGGCAAACCCCACCAAAAGAACAACUCCAGUAUUGUGAGAGUUGCCUCUGAACCUGAACUAGCAGAAUGUUCACAGAAAAGCAAUGCCUGGAAAUUAAAAUGAGUUAAACUAUGAGAUCAUGGUUUGAAGACAUGUCAUACUAUUUUCAAGACAAGGUUAAAAACCAAAGUACUAACCAUUUGUGGCCAUUAAAAUGGCAGGGCUUCCUCUUGUCAAAAAUGUAAUCAUAUGCAAAUGUGAUGCCUGGUGAGCACUGGCCAUCUGGUGGAUAUGAGAUGACCAGCCAAUAGGCUGGAAUGGCGAGGGGAAGAGCCAGGACCCAUGAAAAUGGUGGGGGGGGGCUGCAAGAGAACCAGUGGCAGCAACCCCCUAUCUGCACUCCUGUUAUAUGACAAUAAUAAAUUGCUAUUUGAGUAGUCAGCUGAGUUGGGUUACCGACAGCUGCAGGCAUUUCUAGCUGACAAGUCUGGAGAAUAUGCAGAACACCAGAUAAGUGGCCUCAUAGAAAUCCCUGCCUCAACAGAAACUCCUUUCCCCUCUAGAGAAGCCUUGUGUUCAGUGAUGAAGGGCUUGGCUAACUAUAGCCCACAGGCCAAGUCCAGCACUCUGGACUUGCAAUAAAGUUUAAAAAUAAAGUUUUAUUGGCACAUGACCACUCUCAAUUGUUUACAUAGUAUCUAUGGCUGCUUUUGCCCUACAACAGCAGAGUUGAGAAGUUGCCACAGAAGUUGUGAGAAACCGUGCAAUCUGUCUAAAUGACCUGUCCAAAGACAUCCAAACU
Microcebus murinus (gray mouse lemur) is the source of this 1080-nucleotide non-coding RNA. NCBI's taxonomy places the organism in Eukaryota, Metazoa, Chordata, Mammalia, Primates, Cheirogaleidae. The record is from RefSeq and is a predicted model, not a curated record.